CCCUGCCCUUUGUACACACCGCCCGUCGCACCUACCGAUUGAGUGGUCCGGUGAAGUCUCGGGAUUGUGGAAAUCUCCUUCACUGGAGUUUGUCUGCGAGAACUUGCCUAAACCUUAUCACUGAGAGG
This 128-nucleotide ribosomal RNA is filed under the name uncultured eukaryote. RNAcentral describes it as "partial small subunit ribosomal RNA". It matches the Rfam family "Eukaryotic small subunit ribosomal RNA", at positions 1651 to 1779 of the family's 1831-position model. The record is from RNAcentral.